CGGGGUGAGUAAUGCUUGGGAAUCUAGCUUAUGAGGGGGAUAACUACGGGAAACUGUAGCUAAUACCGCGUAGUAUCGGAAGAUGAAAGUGUGGGACCUUCGGGCCACAUGCCAUAGGAUGAGCCCAAGUGGGAUUAGGUAGUUGGUGAGGUAAAGGCUCACCAAGCCGACGAUCUCUAGCUGGUCUGAGAGGAUGACCAGCCACACUGGGACUGAGACACGGCCCAG
This 228-nucleotide ribosomal RNA is filed under the name uncultured bacterium. Its description in RNAcentral is "partial 16S ribosomal RNA". It matches the Rfam family "Bacterial small subunit ribosomal RNA", at positions 104 to 334 of the family's 1533-position model. The record is from RNAcentral.